GACGAACGCUGGCGGCGUGCUUAACACAUGCAAGUCGAACGGAAAGGCCCUGCUUUUGUGGGGUGCUCGAGUGGCGAACGGGUGAGUAACACGUGAGUAACCUGCCCUUGACUUUGGGAUAACUUCAGGAAACUGGGGCUAAUACCGGAUAGGAGCUCCUGCUGCAUGGUGGGGGUUGGAAAGUUUCGGCGGUUGGGGAUGGACUCGCGGCUUAUCAGCUUGUUGGUGGGGUAGUGGCUUACCAAGGCUUUGACGGGUAGCCGGCCUGAGAGGGUGACCGGCCACAUUGGGACUGAGAUACGGCCCAGACUCCUACGGGAGGCAGCAGUGGGGAAUAUUGCACAAUGGGCGGAAGCCUGAGGCAGCAACGCCGCGUGCGGGAUGACGGCCUUCGGGUUGUAACCCGCUUUCGCCUGUGACGAAGCGUGAGUGACGGUAAUGGGAAAAGAAGCACCGGCUAAUUACGU
This 467-nucleotide ribosomal RNA is filed under the name uncultured bacterium. RNAcentral describes it as "partial 16S ribosomal RNA". It matches the Rfam family "Bacterial small subunit ribosomal RNA", at positions 28 to 506 of the family's 1533-position model. The record is from RNAcentral.